UACGUAGGGGGCAAGCGUUGUCCGGAUUUAUUGGGCGUAAAGAGCGUGUAGGCGGCCAGACAGGUCCGUUGUGAAAACUCGAGGCUCAACCUCGAGACGUCGAUGGAAACCGUCUGGCUAGAGUCCGGAAGAGGAGAGUGGAAUUCCUGGUGUAGCGGUGAAAUGCGUAGAUAUCAGGAGGAACACCGGUGGUGUAGACGGCUCUCUGGACCGUAACUGACGCUGAGACACGAAAGCGUGGGUAGCAAACAGG
Molecule: ribosomal RNA, 253 nt
Filed under: uncultured bacterium
Lineage: Bacteria
Description: partial 16S ribosomal RNA
Rfam family: Bacterial small subunit ribosomal RNA
Source: RNAcentral